Molecule: long non-coding RNA, 520 nt
Filed under: Homo sapiens (human)
Lineage: Eukaryota; Metazoa; Chordata; Mammalia; Primates; Hominidae
Description: long non-coding RNA NONHSAT108824.2
Source: RNAcentral
UGAAACCCCAGUUUGUUGGGAUCUUGCUCAGCUCCCUGCUAGGGGCUGCCUUGGAAACCGAAUGCGGUGCUACAACUGUGGUGGAAGCCCCAGCAGUUCUUGCAAAGAGGCCGUGACCACCUGUGGCGAGGGCAGACCCCAGCCAGGCCUGGAACAGAUCAAGCUACCUGGAAACCGAGGUGUUUUUUGAGGGGGCUGAAAAUCCCUUUGGGCUCCUUGAAAUCACAUCUGCUCUGCCCCAGAAGGCAAGUCCUGAAGCCAGGAGUCCAACACCCCAGUUUCAUUCUCUCUCUCAGCCCCAGUGACCUUGAUUCACCAACAUCCAGCCUGCGUCGCAGCCCAUCAUUGCAAUCAAGUGGAGACAGAGUCGGUGGGAGACGUGACUUAUCCAGCCCACAGGGACUGCUACCUGGGAGACCUGUGCAACAGCGCCGUGGCAAGCCAUGUGGCCCCUGCAGGCAUUUUGGCUGCAGCAGCUACCGCCCUGACCUGUCUCUUGCCAGGACUGUGGAGCGGAUAG